RNAcentral lists this ribosomal RNA (462 nucleotides) under uncultured bacterium. Its description in RNAcentral is "partial 16S ribosomal RNA". It matches the Rfam family "Bacterial small subunit ribosomal RNA", at positions 356 to 806 of the family's 1533-position model. The record is from RNAcentral.
UGGGAAUUUUGGACGAAUUGGGCGAAAGCCUGAUCCAGCAAUGCCGCGUGUGUGAAGAAGGCCUUCGGGUUGUAAAGCACUUUUGUCCGGAAAGAAAUCCUUGGCUCUAAUACAGUCGGGGGAGUGACGGUACCGGAAGAAUAAGCACCGGCUAACUACGUGCCAGCAGCCGCGGUAAUACGUAGGGUGCAAGCGUUAAUCGGAAUUACUGGGCGUAAAGCGUGCGCAGGCGGUUUGCUAAGACCGAUGUGAAAUCCCCGGGCUCAACCUGGAACUGCAUUGGUGACUGGCAGGCUAGAGUAUGGCAGAGGGGGGUUGAGAAUUCCACGUGUAGCAGUGAAAUGCGUAGAGAUGUGGAGGAAUACCGAUGGCGAAGGCAGCCCCCUGGGCCAAUACUGACGCUCAUGCACGAAAGCGUGGGGAGCAAACAGGAUUAGAUACCCUGGUAGUCCACGCCCUAAA